RNAcentral lists this ribosomal RNA (1000 nucleotides) under uncultured organism. Its description in RNAcentral is "bacterial SSU rRNA". It matches the Rfam family "Bacterial small subunit ribosomal RNA", at positions 356 to 1376 of the family's 1533-position model. The record is from RNAcentral.
GGGGGAUAUUGCGCAAUGGGGGCAACCCUGACGCAGCAACGCCGCGUGAAGGAUGAAGGUUUUCGGAUUGUAAACUUCUUUUAUUAAGGACGAAAAAUGACGGUACUUAAUGAAUAAGCUCCGGCUAACUACGUGCCAGCAGCCGCGGUAAUACGUAGGGAGCAAGCGUUGUCCGGAUUUACUGGGUGUAAAGGGUGCGUAGGCGGCUUUGCAAGUCAGAUGUGAAAUCUAUGGGCUCAACCCAUAAACUGCAUUUGAAACUGUAGAGCUUGAGUGAAGUAGAGGCAGGCGGAAUUCCCCGUGUAGCGGUGAAAUGCGUAGAGAUGGGGAGGAACACCAGUGGCGAAGGCGGCCUGCUGGGCUUUAACUGACGCUGAGGCACGAAAGCGUGGGUAGCAAACAGGAUUAGAUACCCUGGUAGUCCACGCUGUAAACGAUGAUUACUAGGUGUGGGAGGUCUGACCCCUUCCGUGCCGGAGUUAACACAAUAAGUAAUCCACCUGGGGAGUACGGCCGCAAGGUUGAAACUCAAAGGAAUUGACGGGGGCCCGCACAAGCAGUGGAGUAUGUGGUUUAAUUCGAAGCAACGCGAAGAACCUUACCAGGUCUUGACAUCCAACUAACGAAGUAGAGAUACAUUAGAUGCCCUUCGGGGAAAGUUGAGACAGGUGGUGCAUGGUUGUCGUCAGCUCGUGUCGUGAGAUGUUGGGUUAAGUCCCGCAACGAGCGCAACCCUUGCUAUUAGUUGCUACGCAAGAGCACUCUAAUAGGACUGCCGUUGACAAAACGGAGGAAGGUGGGGACGACGUCAAAUCAUCAUGCCCCUUAUGACCUGGGCUACACACGUACUACAAUGGAUGUUAACAGAGGGAAGCAAGACAGCGAUGUGGAGCAAACCCCUAAAAACAUUCUCAGUUCAGAUUGCAGGCUGCAACCCGCCUGCAUGAAGAUGGAAUUGCUAGUAAUCGCGGAUCAGCAUGCCGCGGUGAAUACGUUCCCG